UGGUAGUUAUUCCUUUUAUUUUUUUUUUUAGAAAGGAAAUGGGGAAGAAUUUAUAUAAUAGUAUACUAUUGAACAAACAAACAAGGAAAUAUAAUCAGUCAAACAUACAUAAGGAAAGAGAACAGGCAAGAAUUAAUUCAGAAUUAAUUUAGGAGAAAUCAGGUAACCCUAGUUCCAGAUGGAGAACAAAAUAGUUGAAGAAUUUCACUAAUUCGGGCCCAUAUAACCUUACUAUGAUGCAUAUAGAUGAAAACCCGUCCAAAUCAUGAAGAUCAUGAGAUGAUUGUGCUUGGUUCAAGACCUGGUACUUGCCAGUGAUAGGCUAUAUAUUAUGUAAUACCAAUAUCGUGUAUAUAAUGGAGAGAUCGAGCAUAUAUGAAAGGAGAAUCACAGACACAUUUCAUACUAGAGUCGGAGUUGGGGAGAAUAAAGAAAGCGCUUCUAGGGUUUGAGAGGAUAAGAAAAUGACAGGGAGUGUUUGGGGGCGUCA
RNAcentral lists this long non-coding RNA (490 nucleotides) under Nicotiana benthamiana. RNAcentral's name for it is "long non-coding RNA (NBEN_LNC034671)". Lineage: Eukaryota; Viridiplantae; Streptophyta; Magnoliopsida; Solanales; Solanaceae. The record is from RNAcentral.